RNAcentral lists this transfer RNA (69 nucleotides) under Schistosoma mansoni. The record is from RNAcentral. Lineage: Eukaryota; Metazoa; Platyhelminthes; Trematoda; Strigeidida; Schistosomatidae.
GACUCAGUGGCCGAGUGGAUAAGGUGAUGGCGUUUGAAGCGAAAGUUACUAGGUUCGAGUCCCAGAGUG